Molecule: long non-coding RNA, 1227 nt
Organism: Rana temporaria (common frog)
Lineage: Eukaryota; Metazoa; Chordata; Amphibia; Anura; Ranidae
Exons: 2
Source: RefSeq, a predicted model, not a curated record
CACCCAGAGGUAGAAGCAUGAUGGGACUGGUAGUUUUGCAACAUCUGGAGGUCCGCAAAUUGCAUAUCCCUGCCAUAGUAUAUCUACAGGAUAGCAAAAUCCCACCCGGUUUGAUUUCUGGUACAGAUUAUAAAGAAGUUAAUCUAAAGAUAUAUUUAAAGGUGAAGUACAAGCAAAACAAAUAAAGUGUAAAUACCAGCAGCAUGUGUAUUGUUAGUUGAAUAUUGGUGUCCAUAUUGUAUUUCCGUCUCCUGCGCUCUCUCCUUGUGAAGAAUGACUGGUCUUGUAUCUGCCUCCCUGUAGUUUCCUGCGGCCAGCCCAUUUGGGUGGACCUAUUGGGCCCUACCCACAGCUCUGUUCUCUGCAAAGAGUUUUUGUACCUUAAAUUCAGCUUUACAUUUUUUUUUUUAGGACCAGUCUUAAAGUUCAAAUGCAGCUAACUAGAUCAAGCAAUAAUCAGCUUUUAGAAUCUCCCAACAAAUUUUGGAUCCUCUAUCAUCCACUGUCAGAGGAAGGUUGCUGUGAGUAGGUGCACAUGGAAGAAAUUUCUUGAUAGUCAGAGAUACAGUCAACUAUUCUCACUGAUGAGUGUGCCUUCAUAAGUUCUUGGCACAAGAGUCAGUGGUACUGAACAUAGAAUGGUCAAGUUCUACUGCUCAUAACACCCAUACCUGAUGACUCGCACUCUUGCAGCCUCGGCCUCUAAUGCGAUCUAUAGCAAGGAAGGCCUGGAGAGGUGUUUCUGCAUCUUCUUACCCAUACCUUGCUAUGACGCCCAGCUCCCGUGCUUUGUGCAAAAUGUACAGAGAAUGAUAGCUAUGGGGAUAAUAACAGCGCCAAAUCUUCUCUCUUUCCCAGUCUGUGACUUGAGAUUUAUAAGAGAAGCAGCUCACUAAUGAGCUCAUCUCUCUGUCAGUCUGCUCUCUCCUCCUAUCAGUAUUGCCACUUAAGGGCCGUACACACGAUCCAAAUAUCAGGCAACAUCGAUAUUGGGGCCGUGUGUACGACAGCCAGUCCGACAGAAGCCAACCGAAUGGGCAUGGAGGAAAAAGGUCUGCUAAUCAGCGAUGUACGGUGCGAUUUGGCGGGCGGGUGCGCUUCUCUGUCAGAACACAAUAGCACAGCAGGGGAGAUGGUUGUACUAACAUCAGACGGUUAGUAUAGCGGCUCCACCCGAGCUCUUCAGUUUUUUUUUUCAGCCUGCUGGGUUGAGCGAAAAAAAAAAAA